GACGAACGCUGGCGGCGUGCCUAAUACAUGCAAGUCGAACGAGAGCGACCGGUGCUUGCACUGGUCAAUCUAGUGGCGAACGGGUGAGUAACACGUGGGUAACCUGCCCAUCAGAGGGGGAUAACAUUCGGAAACGGAUGCUAAAACCGCAUAGGUCCUUUAACCGCAUGGUUGAAGGAGGAAAAGAGGCGCAAGCUUCUGCUGAUGGAUGGACCCGCGGUGCAUUAGCUAGUUGGUGAGGUAACGGCUCACCAAGGCCGUGAUGCAUAGCCGACCUGAGAGGGUGAUCGGCCACAUUGGGACUGAGACACGGCCCAAACUCCUACGGGAGGCAGCAGUAGGGAAUCUUCCGCAAUGGACGCAAGUCUGACGGAGCAACGCCGCGUGAGUGAAGAAGGUUUUCGGAUCGUAAAACUCUGUUGUUAGAGAAGAACAAGUGCUAGAGUAACUGUUAGCGCCUUGACGGUAUCUAACCAGAAAGCCACGGCUAACUACGUGCCAGCAGCCGCGGUAAUACGUAGGUGGCAAGCGUUGUCCGGAUUUAUUGGGCGUAAAGCGAGCGCAGGCGGUUCCUUAAGUCUGAUGUGAAAGCCCCCGGCUCAACCGGGGAGGGUCAUUGGAAACUGGGGAACUUGAGUGCAGAAGAGGAGAGUGGAAUUCCAUGUGUAGCGGUGAAAUGCGUAGAUAUAUGGAGGAACACCAGUGGCGAAGGCGACUCUCUGGUCUGUAACUGACGCUGAGGCUCGAAAGCGUGGGUAGCAAACAGG
Molecule: ribosomal RNA, 767 nt
Filed under: uncultured Granulicatella sp.
Lineage: Bacteria; Bacillati; Bacillota; Bacilli; Lactobacillales; Carnobacteriaceae
Description: bacterial SSU rRNA
Rfam family: Bacterial small subunit ribosomal RNA
Source: RNAcentral